AAAUAUAUACAAGUAGUUCCUAACUAAUUAGGCAUACAAACCCCUAAAAUUGAGCUAUAAAAUCAACUAUACAAGGAAUAUAUAAUUAAUUAGGAAUAUAUGGUUCACUUUCCUUAACGCUCUCCCACAAGUUGGAGCAUAUAAAUCAUGCCCAAGUUAUUACAGACAUAGUCAACCCAAGCUCUAUUCAAAACUUUUGUAAAGAAAUCUCCCAAUUGAUCUCCAGUUUUAACAUGCCUUGUGGAGAUAAGCUUUUCUUGGAUCUUGUCACAAAUGAAGUGGCAAUCAAUCUCAAUAUGCUUGAUUCGUUCGUGAAACAUUGGGUAAAAAGCUAUAUGAAGAGCAACCUGACUAUCACACUAUAACUUAGCAGGCAAUGAAGACUUAAGACCAACUUUAUUCAAUAACAGAUACACCCACAUUAUCCCACACAUAAAUUGUUCCAUGGCUUUAUCCUCAGAUUUUCCACUAGCAUUUUAGGGCCAAUUUGAACUACUCCGCAAAAUUUUGAAUUUAAAAUGACUUUGUUUUUUCCAUUUCAAAUUUCUACUUUUAUCGUUCCUUCAUUGGUAGAGUGCUUUUUUG
RNAcentral lists this unclassified non-coding RNA (585 nucleotides) under Hevea brasiliensis (rubber tree). Lineage: Eukaryota; Viridiplantae; Streptophyta; Magnoliopsida; Malpighiales; Euphorbiaceae. The record is from RNAcentral.